RNAcentral lists this long non-coding RNA (15792 nucleotides) under Marmota monax (woodchuck). The stretch from base 10145 to 10213 matches the Rfam family "tRNA". Lineage: Eukaryota; Metazoa; Chordata; Mammalia; Rodentia; Sciuridae. The record is from RNAcentral.
UCAGUCAAGGCAUUGUUUACCACUGGCUGACAGCCUUACAGAUAAAGUGGACUGGAAUUCCGUUCCUGUGGAGUAAUAGGGAAUUAAAGUGAAUAAGCAGAAUUGCAUGAAACAGUAUUGGAUGAACACUACACUGGUCACCGUCAAAGAGAGAAUUUGUGAAUUAGAAGAUGAUUCUGAUGAAUUCAUUCAGAACACAGCUCAAAGAGAUGGAGAUAAAAGUCCAGUGGGAAGCAUAGAAGGUAGGUUGAAAUGUCUAGUCAUUUCAGCAAAAGAUUUGGUGACUAGGGGAGAACUAAUAGGUAAAGAAGAAAUGGCUAGAAAUUUUUGAGAACUGGAGAAGGUCAUGAAUCCUGAGAUGCUUUUCUUCUGCACAUACCGUGUCCAGGAAAGAAUAAAAAGCAACAAAACACAAAAUAACUACAACAUAAAUCCUGGUUAUUGCAUAGUGAAACCAAGAACACAAAGGCUAAGGAGAUUCUUAAACCGAAUGUGUUGGGGUUAGGGAGUAGGAUAGGGACUUAUCUUCAGAUACCUGAAGAGUUGUGUCUUGGAAGAAGAUUGAGUUAGAGUUCCUCUGAGUACCUUGGAGAGUGACCCGGGACAGCAGUGGAGAUCACAGGGAAACAGAUUGGCUAUACAGAAGAACUCUCUAGUAACAAGGGCUCUCCAGCAUGAACAGCCUGCCUUAAAAUGAGGAAGUGAGUUCUCUAUCAUUAAAAGGUUUCCUUCCCGCACAGAAUCCCCUGUCCUAAAGGGCUUUGGAAGGAAGAUAGGCAGUCUGGGGAGGAACUGGAGGGCUGGGGUCUGGGCUAUUUGGGCAACUUAAACACUGUGGGAAAUAUGCUCUGAAGAAUUCAGGAAGGCAGAGAAAAGAAUCAUAUCCAAACGGAAAAUGUGAUUUUACCUGUGUAGUGAUGUGUGUGGGUCUGUCCUCUUGCUUAUUGUUUUUGAAACAAAUUGUAUAUCUUUCUUCAGAUUCCACUCCACUAGGGUCAUCAGUUUUAUUCUUCAUUGUUUAUUUUCUAUCUAUAUCUUUUAGCUGAGCUAUUCACUGGUCCUAAAAUGCCCAGCCCCAUCACCUCUUCCUGAAAAGGAUAGACAGCUUAACUUAUCAGCAACUUCUACAUAUGAAAGGUUUCCUGGGAGAUGCCUAUUUCUGAGCCCUCAUCCCUUAACUCCUUGACAUAGAAGACAAAGAGAAUAACUCACCUAAAAUCAUGACAGCUCAGAUCAGUAGAUGUUUUUGGGUUUUACAAGGCUCUUUCUUGUACACUAACCUUGUUUAAUUUUCACAACAAAAGUAAAACAGAUUCAUUUAUCUCCCGAAAUCAAGGAUCGGGGAGGUUAUACAACUUGUCCAAGGACAAAAAAACAAAAGUCAGCAACAAAUCACCCUAGGCUGCAAAUCAGGAGAUGGUUCCAAUGUUCCAAGUUGUCCCUUGGAAGGAGAUUUUUAUCUACUAGGCAUUAUGCCUUAUCUGCCUGGACCCCUGUGCUGUACUGAGUGGGCACUGUGUGUCUGUAGCACAGCCCGGAUGAUACUCAGGGGGAUAUUUCUACAGAACCAUGGCUAAGGACAGUCAUACUAACAGGCAUUCUGUAAAUGAUAUUGUUGAAUUAGGAUUCCAGUUCAGACUUCCAUGGGCUCAGUAGACCACCAAUGUGCUCGUGGAGGAGAGCAAUCAGUAUCUUGCUCUCCUGGUUUCUCUCUUGGCUCAAGUAGCUCUGCCUUCCUAGUUUUUUAACACACCAAGCCCUGUCUUGCCUCGAGCCUGAAACUCCUCUACUUUCUCACUCCUUCAGGGCUCCCUCAAACAAUGUCUUGGGUCAACCUGUCUCCAAUCCCCACCCAUCCCAGUACUCUACUGCCCCUCUCUAUUUUAUUCCCUCCUCUGGCAUUUAGGAUAUGAGAUAUUUUCCCUGAUUUAUGGGUUGUCUGCCUCUCUGACCAGCAUAUAAGAUAUUUGAGGACAAGGGUUUUUAUGUUUUUGUUUCCUACAGACUCCCCAGCACCUCAAAUAGUGCCACCUUGUAUUAAUGCUUAAGAUAUAUGCAAUGCAUGAGGGAAUGCAUCCAUUUAUAAUGUUUCUGUGGACUUCCAGAUGCAAACAACUAACACACAAGUUGACUUUUGCAACAUAAGUCAGAUCAACUAAGGAAAUUCUGGACAUGUUUUGAGGGUUAAUAAUGAAAUAUAGAAGCCAUUUUUACUAAAUUUCAACUUGGUGUUGCCUAAGAUCAAGUAAGCACAGGGGAGGAGGGCAUUCAAACUUUGAAAUGCAGGAAAGAGAUUCACAGAGCCCUCUUAGUUAGCUUGAGGCUCUGUGAGGACAGACUGGGGUUGUUGAAGGCAGGUGUCUGUAACUGAAAAAGAGAAAAACAUAUCCAGAGAGAGAGAAAAAAAACCAAACUAUCAACCGUGGAUGCGGAGACUCUACUUGGAGUCUAAGGCUGCACUGGGCACUGUGAACUAGAAAAAGUCUCUCAUAUGAUUCCAAGGAGUUAAAACUUGUGGGUAGGGAGAGGUAAUUUUAAGGGAGGUCAGUGAAAUGCUAAACAGUUGCGAUAGGAGUUACAGAAGGAAGAGCUAGCUCAGCAGUCUGGAGUGUUCCAAGAGGGUUUUUUGGAGAACGAGGUCCUACAGCUGACCUUUAAAGAGGAGAGGGCCCUCUUGCCCCCAGAGGAAGGGAGUGCAUAUCCCAGUCUGCACCGGCAGCUCCUGUACCUCACACACAGGGACCAGGCACUAUAGCACAGAGCCCUGUGCUAGCAAAUCUAAAAAUACUCACCCUCUCUAUUUUUUUACUUUCCCUCCUCUCCUGGACACUUACUUUUCUUCUCACCCUCCUUCCUAUUUUCUUCCUUCUCUGAUUAUCCUUUCUGGCAACUGCUGGACUCCUUUGCUCAUCCCUCCCUCCAAGGGAAUCUGUGAUCAGCUGGGGGGCCAAAACCUUGCUGGACUCCCCAACAUUCAGGUACAGGUUGGCAGAGGCUCCAAAGGCCCCCCCCCCUCAGCUCAGUUAUUUCAAAUGCCAAUUAACAGGUGUCAGAAAAACUGGUCCCACUCAGAGACCUGCGUGUGCAUAACAACCCAACUGUUUUGGCUCUCCACCCCACGAGCAUAAAUAUCGUGGUGUUUGAGCCCUUGGGGCCUGUGGAGUUUACAAGUAUGCUGUCAAGAUCUCUCCACUGGGCUGGCGCUUGAAGUGCUGCCAAGAAGCGAGGGGACUCCUGUGCUUUUAUGUGUUCCCAAGCGCAGGCCGCCCUGGCUCCAGGAGGAGCCCUCUGGGGACCCAGCGUCGGUGUGAAUCUCAAACAGCAAGCUGACAUUCCGGUUGGGAGUGUGACAGUGCAUGCCUGGGUGAUGAUGCCAGAGCGGCAGGUGACACGGGUCCACCGCAGAGGGGGAGAGUAACUGGAGUGGCUUCCAGUUACAUGUCCUCAGAGCUCUGAAGGAUGGAAUCAGGGUCUGGGGAACAGUUAUAAAAUGAAGCUACAAAAUCCGGAUGUCCCAGUCAAAUUGGGACCACUGAGAUGGGGCAUUCAGAGUGCAGAUGAUACCCAUGUUCCUGAAAAAGGCACUUGACUUGGGCUGAUCUGGGGUCAAUGACAUUGCAAGCCAGAGACACAGACCACGGUCAACCAGUGAAAACACACACAGAUGCACACUAACACAGAGCCCAUCAGGACACAGAGGGCGAGGAGGCAUUCAUCCUGUGUGCCCUAGAAGCCUCCAGAAGCAAUCUCACUCUCAGGGUACCUCCCUGCCCCCAGGUCUCCCCAUGACUGUCCUCCUCUGGGUAAACAUCUGAAAACAGAGCGGCUGCCAGGGAGCAGAAAGAAGAGGAGAGGGUGGAAUGGGACGGGGUGGGGCAUGGCGACAGGAAGAGCUCAAAAGAUUCUCAGGUUGGGUGACGACCAAGGUUGGCUUGUCCCAGAGGGCAGUUGGGCCCCAGCCUGGCGGGCGGUGGGGUUGCAAGCGUAAGGCAGGCUCCUGCCAGUUGGGGAAGCAUUGCCUGGCCACUACUACCCCCCACCCCCCACCCCCGCUGGCUCUGCAGAGUGUUCAGGUCCAGGAGAAUUUGCUGGACCUUUUCUGAGAUAGCUUCCACCCCACCAAGAACCACAUCAAAGGGCUUGAACGUAUUUCCCUCGUCUACCUUGUGGUCUGCAAAGAAAGCUGGGAAAAAUCCACAUUAAGUGGCCUGACUGGCCAGGGCGGGGGUGCGCUUCUUUGAGGACCCCCUUGGGGUAAGCCUGGUUAUGCUUUUGUGAUCAUUAUUCUAGAAACACCAAAUGGAAAGGCAGACCGCCUUCCUGAGUUCCCUAGUUCUUUUUCCCAUUUUUCAUAGAAGCCCAGAAUAUUCUAGAUUUUGUAUUUCUGGGGUCAAAAGCCCAAGGAGAGGCACUGAAAUAUACAAAAUCACAUACUUUGUUUUGGUGGUUCCUAAUAUUAUUCCAGCUGUGUUAUUUCUUAUUUUCUCAGUCGUAUUCAUAUCAUGUAAAUUUAUGGAGAUAAUAAUUUGCCAUAAGCAAAUGUGUCCUUGGGAAUAUCCCCCAACCACCACUACCCCAGUUAGCUUAUGAACUCUUUAGCAGCAGAGGGGAUGGCCUCUGUCACUUUGCUGCCUGGUCUGAUAUAACCUUGCGGGUCUCUGCACAGGGCCUACUCGUGCUUCUGCCCCGCUUUGAGGGGCAAAUAGAGUCCACACAGAUUUGAGCCGUCCUGAGAAAUGCCAGGGGAGCCUAACACCAAUCCCAAAGAAGACGCAGAAUCCUGCCCCUCCACUGUCAGAAUUUGGAAGAAGUUUCUACCCUUUAAGCGAAAGUCAGAUGCUGCAAAGGUGAAAUAGGAAGCUUUCAAAAGGAUGAAGUCAGUUCUCUUAGAAGGAAAUCUUGUUGGAUGGAAACAAAAAACAAAUGAUGUUACCUCAAUCAAAAGUCAUUUAUUUCUCUGCUGCAUGAUGAUGGCCUGAGGCUCUGAGCUGUCAGUUCUGAAGGCCGUGUAGGUUUUAGAAGGUGGUUGUUGGGGUCAUUUUUACUGGACAGUGCAUGGCCUCAAGAUGGCCAGAGAGGAAUUUCAGAGCCUCAAAUCGUCUCUCUGUUUUGGGAGGACGCUCUGGGCAGACAUUUCGCUGAUCAUAAUCACUUUUAUAUGUAACUGGACCUUAAUUCAUUUGGUAGUUCGAGCUACGGAAGGGCGGCACAGAUUAGAGAGCUAUGUCUGUAACUGACGAAAUCUGCGCCUGGUGUGCGUUUGUGGGGAAAUUAAAAAUAAAAUAAAGCUCAUCUGAAAAAUGUGCGGACUCGAAUUAGCUGUCUCCUGACCAGUCACGCAUGGAACUUGUCGGAGAUGACCAGGACAGAAAAGUGAGACCAGGGCAGCUCAUCAGGCUGCGCCGCCCGCCAGGCUGGAGAGCCUGUCAUAAUUUAUAAUGGAUUAUCUUAGGAAAUAGAUGAGGACAGCUUGUGUUCAGGAGCCAGGAAAAACUAGUUAAAAAAAAAUCCCAGAAAACAAGUCUUAAAAAUGAGCUAUCCUCUUAUACUCUGCAAGGAUGCCUUUUGAUUUGAAUUAACUCAUCAAAUCCUCUGCUGUAAAUGUGACUGACGUUUGAUGGGAACUAACAUCACCAGGUAGACUAAAUGGACCCCCUUAUUAAUACUGGUGUUGGGGUCCAUGUUUGCACCCCUUGCCCUGAGGUGCCUAUCCAGAUGCAUUGGAAUUUUUGUAUUUUAUAUUCUGAGUUUCAAAGAUGGGCUCACACACACACACACACACACACACACACAAAGGUAUUUUCCUGCUGUGAUUGCUCUUUUUUGUGCUGCCCUUGAUGCCCACUUUGUUUUUCUCAACUCUGAUUGCGCUGGACCAACUACUUUUGCUUACAUCAAUUCUGCUGUUCACUUUCACAGAGUCCCUUUGAGGUCCUGUCAUUCUGCUGAUUGUACCAAUGAGGUCAUUGCCAAGGAGAGAUUACAGGGCUGGCCAAGGUCUGUCAUCUAGCAAGUGGCCUGGCUGGACUUUGAACCCAAAUCUCUGUGGCUUCAAGCCUGGGCCUGUCGACCCAGUCCAGGUUUAAUCAGCACCCAACUGUAGCUGGGCAGGGUGAAGAGUUCUGAUGUGACGGUGGGCUAAAUCUCCAUCCCUAGCUUAUCUAACCUCCAUCUUAAAUUUAAGCUUCUUUCCCUGAAACCAUUAUGAAAGGGAAAAAAAAUGCACUUCAAACUUUCAAAGGUAAUUGCAAUUAAAUAACUUGGUUUCCAUUGUCAGCCUGGUUUCUCUGCCUUAGUGGAAAGUCUAAUGGGAUGCUUUACAAGGCUGACAAAGACAGAUAAUAAAAGUCGAACUUGUGCACAAAGCUUCCUUGAAAGCUUGGUAAUUAACGGCUUUGCAUUGUUCUUUAAUAACAGCCACCUUCUUAAUGCAUCGGAAUAAAGGCACAAACUCUGAAAUAUAUUUGCAUUUCAGCCACCCAGCUUGUGAACACAGGCUCCAGUUUUUCAUUCAGAGGAAUUGCACUUCAACCUUUGCAUAAAGAAAGACCAAAGGUAGCUCUUUCUGCCCAAAUGCUGGCAAUAUCUAAAUGUUUCAUACAUGGGAGAGUAGAUAUUAACCUUUGCAUCUGUUUCAGAGGAGGCUGGGUCUUAUAAGGACAGGCUGACAAGAAGCCUGGAUGUGAAAUAGAGUCAUGACCUUCCUGCAUGAAAUGCCUGUAUCCCACCCACAACAGUAGGUCCUAGAGUGGUGUGUGUGUGUGCACAUGCGUGCACACUCAUGAACAUAAUCCCAUGUGUUCCUUUACAAUUCCUAUGUAGACUAUGAAGUAGAGGAAGUGGGAGACCAUGUGCUCUUGAGAAAUUUCCAAAACAACGUAUUUCCAAAGAAAUUUAACUGCUGCCUGGUGCAGGUAUUUUGCCACAAAGUGAGAGGAAAAGGUACAAACUUUAUUUAACAGCUGCCUACUACGUGCCAGACACCAUGCUAGGCACAGUCUCAAAUCUUUUUAAUCCUUGUCACAACCCUCUGAAGUAUUAUUCUCUUUUUAGAGAUGAGGAAAUUGAAGCUUAGAGAGGUUAGGUUACUUGCCAAGCAUUACAUAACCAUUAGACAGCCUAAGAUUCAAAUCCACAUUUAUCGGAAUCCCAGAUUGAACUCUUUGUCCCCUGUUAAAAUGUGACUGUCCCUGAGAAAGGUGGCACACGAAAUCCUAUCAGUCGCUCACACUGUAGUGCAAUGGAUUUGUCCUAUCCUUUCCAAGAAAGUUUUGACUACAAAGCCGAAAGUUCUAGAUUCCACAAAGGGGAAGACAGAGUGCAAGAGAGGAGGGUGAUGACAAAGACCACAUCAAACACUCUCCAAUUUCAUCCAGCCCUACGUGUCACCAGCAGCCUGAGAGCAAGAAAAAGGGGCAAGGGAAGAUGUAAAGAACAGUCUUCCUCAACUUCUAUUCUGAAAGGAUGGGGAAGAAAGGAAAUGCUGCUCUGUUCCAAGGGCGCUCAUGUAGAAGAAGGGAGGAAGGGCGUUAUUUUAAUUUAGCCUAGCACAAUUCUAGAGGCAAGAGCAACUGGCCUGAGUUAGGUUGCAGCACAGGUGCAUUGUCUAUGGGCAGAGUGAGUCUAGGACUGAGUUAUUCCUCCCGCCCUUUCCACAGCAGGUCUGCUCGGUCUGAGCUCCUGGCCCCUGGAGUGCAGUGCUGUGGGUAACAGCAGAGCUGUGGCUACGUGGCCUUCAGCAUGCUACUUACCCUUCCUGCUUCUUCCCUUGUGAAGUAAAAAUCAUCAUGCCUGCUUCCUGGGAUCACUGUAAGAACAAGAUAGGACAGUGUACUAACAGCACUCCGUGAAUGGUAACAAGGCUACUGUGUGAUUGCCAUCAGGGUGGGGAAUUUGAUACAAAAGGGGUCAAGUUGACUAUAGUCAUGGAUAGAGCUUUCAGUGGCCACAUGGCAUGAACUUAUGGAUAGUGGGAAGAACUCUCAGCUCCAAAGUAUCUUCUUUAUCCCAAAGCCUUACUGACAUUCUGUGCCUGGGAUAUAUUCCUUUGACAACCACUCCAAACAUCCUCUUAUUAAUUCCUUUGAUGGUAACACAAUAAAUUGGUAUGGUUGCCUAUUGGGAUGGGGGGUUACACGUUAAAACAACACUAAUGCUCAGGCCUCACCCCAGAUGCCCCCGAAAUUAGGAUCAUGAGGAAGAACCUAAGCAUUAAAGAUAAACUUUUUUUCUUAUUUUUCCCCCUGGUCCAAUUAUUCACCUUGAUUUUAUUUAUUUUAUUUAUUUUAUUUGUUCUGUAUAGUGAUACAUGACAGUAGAAUGUAUUUUGACAUAUCAUAUAUACCUGGAGUAUAUCUUGCCAUUCUUGUGGUUGUACAUGAUAUGGAGUUACACUGGUCGUAUAUUCAUAUAUGAACAUAGGAAAGUUAUGUCUGAUUCAUUCUACUGUUAAGGAUGAACUUUUCAAGUAUUCCUGUUGUGUAGCCGGCAUUAAACUGUUGUGUCCCACUAAAACAUAAGCCCCAGCAGGUCAAGAACUACUGCAUGCUGUCCCCAAGCUGACCACUGCUUUUGGCACACACAAAAAUAUUUAACCUACAAAUUUGUUGUUGCUUUUGUUGUUGGAAAAAAAAAAUAAAGGUAUUGGUGAUUUUAAACUCUUCGAUGAGAGCCAGAGAUAAGGUAGGGACAAGAGGCUGAAAGGUAUAAGGGGGGGGGGGAGCUCUAGGGUAUUACAGACAAACAAAUCACACUUCUUAGAAAAUCCAGCUGCUGGUGGCUCUAAUGCCAUUUCUAACAGGAAAGGACAGAGCUGUCAGAAGGAUGGGCAGAGCCUACACUAGGACUGAGAACAUUCUUCUUCAAGUUUCUAGAAGAAACAGAAUACAAAGAAAAGUUUCAAUUCAAUGAUUUUAAAAAUCUUUCUGGCAGUUGGAGGGGAGGGAAAGCACAUGCUGUGAGAUUGGGUGAAGCUCGAGCUUCACAUCUCACACCUGUCAUUAAUUACCUGUAUGGCCUCAUGGAAGAAGGCAGAAUGUCUUUUCCUGUAUUUCAUUUAAGGCAUCUCAGUUUCCACAUGUAUAAAAGCAACAAUAUUAUUAUCCCCCUCCCAGGGGAGGUAACGAAUACUGGGUGAAUCUGCAAGCACAUAGUAGGUGAUCGGUGCUUAUUAUUUUCUCCCCUACCCUCUCCUUUCUUUCCUCCUUCCCCUCCUGUCAAACAAGGCCAUCCGCUCCUCUAGACGUCAAAGCCUUUUCAACAAUGAGGUAUCAAAUGUGAUUUCUGUAUUUGGAAUGCAAAUGUUUAUGGGAAUACUAUAAUGAGGUGAGGUGAGUGCGCAAAUCCUCAAAGUAGCAAGGAAGAAAUGGCCUACACGAGAGGCCCACCAUAGAUCAGCUCCCAGAGGGGUGGCCAGACCCCGAAAUCAGCUGAGUGGAAGUUGUGCUGGCCUUAGAAAACACAUGAGGAGAUUUCCUUCUCUUGCUGAGAUCUCAAAGAAUGUAAAUAACAUUGGAAUUGUCUCCUUUUUUAUAGGCUUGUUAGAAAUCCACUGUGACACCAUUUAGUCCUAAAAACAUUUUAGUAGAGAAUUUUAAUCACUUCCUUAAUGUCCUCAUACUAAACCUUCUCUACAAAUGUUGGAUCUGAUCCUGGGUUAUUUUGGAUACUUUACAUCUUUCUAGAAUUGUAUUCCAAUUUAACUAUGGGCUUUUAAGCUAUGCCUCUUUGCGUUAUCAUAGUGCUUAAGUGGCUGCUGUAUGUUUUAAGGUACAUAUAAUAAAUAUUUCACAGUCGUCAUGGAGUUAAUACUGUAUGUUGCAACUAUCUAAGUGAGUUUUCCCCCACUCUGUACUUUAUACUAUAGUCAUUGUAUCUAUUGCACCUAUAUGUUCGUUCUAAAGGACACAGUACAAAUUUGUAAUGCUUGCUUUAAAUAGUUUUGUCUUUUACAGAAAUUAGGACCAAAAAAUAUAUUUUCCAAGAUAUUUACAAUUUCUUAUGUUUCUCAUUAAUUCCUGAAGACCCAAGUUCACUUCCUGUAUAAUUUCCUUUCAGCCUAACAAACUAGUUUGUUCCUGAAGAACAGAUCUGCUGUGACAAAUUACCUUAGUUUACUUCUAGUCUCAAGACAUUUUGGGGGGCUGGGGUUGUGGCUCAGUGGUAGAGCACUUGCCUAGCAUGCGUGAGGCACUGGGUUCAAUUCUCAGCACCACAUACAAAUAAAUAAAAUAAAGGUCCACCAACAACUAAAAAAUAUUUUUUUAAAAAAACCUCUUUAAAAAAAUUUAAAAAACAUUCUUGUUUUACCUUCAUUCUCAAAGUAUACUCUCCCUGCAAACAGAGUUUUGGCUUGAUAAGUUACCAUUCUUUUGUCUUCUUAUCUCCAUAAUCUCUGGAGAAAGGACAGAAAUCAUCUGAAAAAUUAUCCCUUUGUAUGCAAUGUGUCAUUUUACCGGGAGUAGUGUUGAGAUUUUCUCUUCACCUUUAGUUUUCAGACAUUCAGUGUGCCUAGGCACAGUUUUCUUUGUAUUUAGCCUACAUGAAGUUAAUUGAGUUUAAGACAGACUUUUUCACUUUUGGUAAGUUUGGAAACACUUCAGACACUGUUUCUUCUAAUUUUUUUUUCUUUUGAGAUGCCCAUUCUCUCACUGCUCCCUUUGUGAAGCUCCAAAUCCACACAAACCAUUUGAUAAUUGCCAAAUAAGUUCUUGAGAAUCAUUUUUCUUUUUGAUUAUUUUUCUUUUAAUUCUUCAGAUUGUAUGAAUCCUAUUGCUGUAUCUUUUAAACUUACUGGUUUUCUUCUCUGUCAUUACCAUUUGACUCUGAAUCUCAUUCAUUAAGUUGUUUUUUCAAAUUUUUAAAUUUUCCAUUUUUAAGUUGUUUUUAAUUCUUUUCUGGGAUGUCCUAUCUUUUCAUUAAUUUUGAAUAUAUUUUCCUUUACAUCACUGAACACAUUUAUGGUCACCACUUUAAAUCUUUGUCUGCUAAUUCUAAUAUCUGAGAAUAUUAGGAUCCCUCUUUCUCUCAAGAAUGGGUCAUAUUUUCUUGUCUCUUUUUAUGUUCAGUAAUUUUGUGUGUCUUGAACACUGUAAUGAUAAGUUGUAGACAUUUUGCAUUUUGUUAUAUACCCCCAAUGACUGCAAGUGUUUUUAUUUUAGCAGGCCUUUAAUUUGGUUGGAUUCCAAUGAAAGACUCUAUCUCUUGGGUUGGAUCUCAAAUCUCAGUUCCAGUCUUUCCCUUAGUUGAGACUCCCAGAAUCUGCUCUAUGUAUGUAUAGUUUCGGGUUCAGCCAGAGGUUUGAGCAGAGUUUAUAUACAGAAUUUGGAGCCCUUCCCUUCUGGCUUUCUCCAAAGAUCUCCUUAAUUUUUGUGGCUAUGGCUAUUCUGAAUUCUCUGGUUCAGUAAGCCAAUAUACUUGAGGGUUUCUUUCAUAGUUUUUGAAACCCUCUAUGAUAUAGAUAUAUGAAUCCUGUUCUGGGAUUGAGAUGGGAGGAAGGGAGCUUGCCCCGUGCUGUUCCUUUCUUCUAAGGGUCAAUUCAGAAUCUGCCUCCAGAAUCUGCCUUUCCAGGGCCUUCAAGGAAUUGUAUUUUUGUCUAUAAUUCAUGAUUGGUCUAAUAAUAUCUCACUUGUCCUUAUUAUAAACAAAACCAGUGUUUUAUUUACUUUGAGUUUUCAACUUUGUUACCAAGGGCAGUUACCUUAUAAUGACUUUAAUUUUGUUGACACUGUAUACGCCUUUAUUCUCAUCCUUAACCAUUUCCCCCACUCUCUUUUAUUAAUUUAUUUUUUUUUAUGGUGCUGGAGAUCAAACCCAGUGUCAGAGGCAAGCACUCUACCACUGUGCUGCUGCCCAACCCCUCAUUCCUAAUCUUUUGGCAUCAUCUUUUAAAUUCAACCAGACUUGCAAAGAAUUUUAUUUUUCUUUAUCUUUUUUUUUCAUUUUUCCAUCUUGCAGACAUUUUCAAAGAACCCGUUCUAGAAUUCAUUUAUGCUUUUCUUCUCUAAUUGUUUCUUUUUAUUUUAACUUGCAAGGAAUUUUUCUAUUUUGUAAAUAUUCUCAAGUAACUUCUUUUAGAAUGCAUCUAUUAUUUUUUUCUAUCCAUUUCCUUUUAUUUUAGCAUACAUAUUUGUAAUUCUGGAAGGAAAAUUUAAGACAUAGUUGUGCAUUAGCAUUUGAACUGGAACAAUGAGAUAUAUACCAACAUUUUCAUCUUAAAUCAUCAAUGAAUGAGGAGAGAGAGGCAUGCUUAGGAAUACAGAGUGGCAGCAGGGGAAGAAGAACCCUCCUACCCACUCCCAAAAUCUGCUGCUCAUGGGCCACUUUAUCUGUAUCUUAGAAAAAUUUCCAUGUUUGGGCUAUUUUAUUGCUUUGAGGUUUACACACAUCCUGUUUUCUUAGGCCUACUUGAAGGACGUUCUUGAAGCAUUGAUGACAAGCAACUAUUUAUGACAUCAAAGGGUAAUAAGAACAUAAUCGAUGACACUGGGAGAAUGGAAAUGUUUCUCCAAGAUGAUGAAGCUGAAGCUGAAGCAUUCCCAAAUGUUAACAUGUCCAAGGAAUUGUCAUCAAAAUGACCCAUGGGACCAAGGCCUCUCCCUGUUUUACCCAAGCUGAAAAAAGCUGGGUUUUUGUUAGAUAACCUGGUUAUUGUUAGAUGGUAGCGAUGAAAUGUCACCGUGAAACUUAGCUGUAAGCAUUAGUACUGACCAGAUCACCCACCCUGGAAGGGACAACACAGAUGGGAGAAGAGACUCCCGGGUGGGUCAUUAAUAUGCCAGCUCCUCCUGAUUCCAACAAACAUUUGGGCCCCUCCCCAACUCACUUUCUGGGAGAUAUGCUCCCUCAGCUUUAGCCAAAUCAACUUAUUCAUUGCUUCUGGGACAUGGCCAUGGGUCCAGGCCACACCAAGAAUGUAACAUUUAGAAACUCACUAUGGUAAACAGCAUACCUCCCCACCCCACAAAGAAAGCCCACCAAGAAAGCCCAGAAAAGAUGCCAAGACAUGCUCUGGAGUGCGAGUGAAACAGCGAUCUGCAGGGCACAAGAAAGUCUAUUUCAUCAAGCAAAUGAUGGUUGACUAUACAACUUCAGUUAUUUGUCUAUGUGCUUUGCCUUCAAGAUUUGAAGCUCCUUAGAGUAAGGCUCAUGUUUUCUUCUAUUUUUUUUUCCCCACAAAAUUUAGCAUAGACUAUAUUGGAUGAAUAUCUCUUGAUUAACGAGCUGGGGAAUGCAGCUCAGUGGCAGAGUGUUACCUAAUGUGUGAGGCCCUGAGUUUAAUCCCCAGCACUAGAAAAACAAACAAAAAAUCCCUUGACUGAUGAAUUAAGAAAUAAAUACUUUUUGAUUCUGGACCAAGUUAACUUUUUCAUUUUUCAUAGUUAUCUCCAACUUUUCAUUAUUCCAUCUAUUCUAUUUUUCAUACUCAUUUCCAUCUUCUAACUCAUUUUCACCAUCUAAGUCAUUCCCACAAAUGGAACAAACCAGUCUUUCAGUUGCAAACUUCAGAGAGAAGACAGGAUGGAGAUGACAGCCAGACUGCGUUGUCUGAGAUCAAAUAUAAAAGAUGAUUAUUGGGACAUUUAGAAACCCACUAUGGUAAACAGAAUACCUCCCCACCCCACAAAAAAAGUGCACAAAAAAGAACCUGAGAAUGUUAUCUUUCAUGGCAAAGGGGACUUAACAGGUGUCAUUAAGCUGAAGACCUUGAGAAGGGGAAGUUAUCCUGGCCAGAUGUGAUCACAAGGGUCCUCUUAGUGUACAAGAGAGAAAGAAGAGAUCGUGAUGGAGUGAUGCAGUGUAAGAACAACAUGGCUGGCCACUGCAGACUUGAGAUGUCAAAGGGGACCAUGAGCCCAGAAAUACAGGAGAAUACCAAAACUAAGAGGGCAAGGAAACAGAUCCUCCACCAGCACUCCUGAGAAGGAACAAAGCUGCCAACAACAUGAUCUGCAACCACUAAAUCAAGAUUUCUGACCUCUAUAACUUUAGGAUAACAAAUUUGUUCUGUUUUAAGCCACUAAAUUUGUGAUAAUUUUUAACAGCCACUAUAGGAGAUGAAUACACCCAUCUAGAUGGUAAUAUGUCCCCCCCCCAACACUUUUCUGAAUAUACUGCACUGUCAACUCUUCUUGAGAGGGAAGUUCCAUAAGCCAAAGGAACCUCUGAAUAUACCCCUAAGUUUUCAGAACUACAUUAUGUUCCUCCUUGACCUUUAUGUUAGCACUUAUCUGUAGACACAAAAUCACCAGUAGGUGCAAUAUCUAACACAGGAUGUAUCAACACAAGAGUGGCUAAGUUAAAGGUUAAAGUUUUCUGAAUAAGCUGUUUUUCCCUCUAUUUUGUACUUUUCUCAACUUUCAUACUUUAGUGACUGUGUUUCUUUGGACUCUUUGUAUUACUGAAUAAACAUGUUUGCUAAUAGCUUCGUGAUGGAAACUUGCCCUAAAAUUAUGAAAUGCUAGCUGAUAGAUGAUAGAUAGAUAGAUAGAUGAUAGAUUGAUAGACUAAUAAAGGUGAGUCUGCCUAGCAGGCGGGUUGAAUCAGCUGGCUCACCACCAUUUCUGCAGCCAACAGCAGCCCUUGGCCUUUGCAAUAUCUCUACUUCCCACUCCUCAAGGAGAACCCAUCAUGGAUAGCAUAGUCUGGCAUAUUCUCCCAGAACUUCUACUCAAACAUAGUCAAAAUAGCUGGGAGAGUGAAUUCCAGAACUCUGGACCUGCUGCCAAGAAUCUCUGAAGUACAAAAUAAAUAACUAAGUAUUGUUGGCAGAAAUGCACAUGUAAUUGUAGCUGCCAUAAUGGAAAACUACCUAGAAAAAAUAAAACUCCCCAAGGAAACUUGGUCUCAUCUAUUACAUUAGGAUUUCAUAAACCAACUCAGGCAACACGAAUAAUGAUAUUCUGAGUCAUUUGGAAAAUGAAGAACAGAGGGCAUUUUUGGGCACAGGUUGCUGCCAAUUCAGGGAAUGCCAGGGACCACAAACAGUGGUUGGGAACGCAGUCCCCGUGGAUGACAAAACCUGGCAGUGCUUGGGAGAAGCCUUGGGCCAAAGGCUGGGCCUGGUCAAAACAGCUGUUGGACUUCACCCCAACCUCUGCACCCACCACAAACUCCCUAGAGGACCUGAUAUCUUUACAGUGUCUCUUUGAUGUCCAAGACAAUUCAUGAAGUGACUUGUGUGAGCUUGAAGUUCUCUAUGUUACUUGUUCUGAAAUAUUUCAUUUUUUCUUCACCAUUGAAAAUAGCAAAAUGUACAAAUGCUGAUGGAUUUGCUAAGUUCUUUUAAAUAAUAGAUACAUGACUCUCAUUGCCACUGCCACAGUAUCUUAUCACCUUCCUCCAUGCAGUUUCACUCCCCAUCAAAACUGAAACAAUUUUCUUAAUAACAGCUCUAGAGGAGGGUCACUUCCUCCUUCCAAUACCCUUGAAGGAUCCUCUGAAUCUGUAAUAUGUGACAAACUCCUUAUCCUGGCAUCAUGUGCCUCUGGGAGUUGUCCCUUGUCUUAUCAACCAUAGAGUGCCAUCAUUUUGCUCCAGGUAAAGGCCCACUCUAAUACCACUGUUUCCACUAUUCUCCUUUCUUUCUCAAUCAGAAUUUAUAGUCCCUACCUCUGGACUCCAGUAGCCAACCAGAUAUCUAUAGCAUCACUUUCUAGUAUGGAUUUGGUGCUUAUAGCUCCCUCUCCUUAAUACACUGUCAAUAUAAAGGGCCACUUGUGUUGAAUUCAUGCAUCUUCCACAACACCUAGCACAGCGCUUUGCUCUUGGGCUUAAUUAAAAAAAGAGUUGCCA